GGGGCUGAUUCUGGAUUCGACGGGAUUUGCGAAACCCAAGGUGCAUGCCGAGGGGCGGUUGGCCUCGUAAAAAGCCGCAAAAAAAUAGUCGCAAACGACGAAACCUACGCUUUAGCAGCUUAAUAACCUGCUUAGAGCCCUCUCUCCCUAGCCUCCGCUCUUAGGACGGGGAUCAAGAGAGGUCAAACCCAAAAGAGAUCGCGCGGAUGCCCUGCCUGGGGUUGAAGCGUUAAAACGAAUCAGGCUAGUCUGGUAGUGGCGUGUCCGUCCGCAGGUGCCAGGCGAAUGUAAAGACUGACU
This 300-nucleotide transfer-messenger RNA is filed under the name Salmonella enterica. RNAcentral's name for it is "partial transfer-messenger RNA". It matches the Rfam family "transfer-messenger RNA", at positions 1 to 309 of the family's 374-position model. Rfam says of the family: Bacterial tmRNA, also known as 10Sa RNA or SsrA, is named for its dual tRNA and mRNA-like properties. The record is from RNAcentral. Lineage: Bacteria; Pseudomonadati; Pseudomonadota; Gammaproteobacteria; Enterobacterales; Enterobacteriaceae.